CAAUGGCUUGAUCAUAAUGCUGCGGCGGGGUCAGAGAGCCGGCAAACCGUUUCUGGUUCUAGUAGAAAGGGAUUUACUGAUUCGGGUUGAGGAUGACGAGCAAAAGAGUGGAGGAAAAGCUGUUAUAUAGUUAGUCUAUUUCUAUCUUCCUAUCUUUGUCAUGUCAGUCUUAUUCCUAUCUUGGUAUCUUUGUCAUGAGGUAUGCAGCACACUCAACCAAAAUAUAUAGAAUUGGAUCAUCAACGGGUGUGCUAAAGAAACGCCUCUACGUAAACGGAUGAACGGGAUCAUCAUAUAGUGAGCUUCGUUUGGGAUACUUAAACCCACAAAAAUUAGCUCUUUAGCUGAUAUACGACCACCAACUAUCUGGCUAUCGAGAAGAUCUAAUAUGCAGGGAAGUAAUUCAAUAGAAUAACGCAAGGUUCGAUAAAUCAAUUGAUGCAAAAGCAGGGAAUUAGACCACUCCAUCCUUUAUUUCACCUAGGAGCCAUCUUAGCAGCAGGGCUUUCGACUCUCGAAUGUCAAAGAAGGUCCUUUUCUAUCAUCUGAGCUUUCUCACCUGUGCCCUCAGCCCUCAAGACUUCGCCAGACCUUGAUUUUCGAUUGAAGAUAAUCGUUGCUUCGCUAUCCCGAUACCAAAAUGGGAAGAUCUCCCUUCUGGGUUGGUAGAUGAAUUGUUCUGGGUAACAGGCGGUGGACAUCUUCGUUGACAGAUCUGAGUUAUCGACUUGGUCAUAUGCCCUAAAGUUACCCUAAGCCCUCGGGGCUCCAUCCGAACCUGUGACUCAACCUUCUCUUUAGCGGAGGAGAAUAGUUCCGAGUGAGUGUGCUCCCGAACCAACGAUUUGUAUACUCUUUGCCCCAGGUACCAAUACCCAUGUCUUCCUGCUUCUUUUGAUUCUCUUACUCUUCAAAAAUAAAAGCAAAGCACACCGCUAAACAAAAAGCUGGUAUUACCAACCUUCUCAGAGGUUAGGCGAUUCAUUGAGUCGAUCAGUCAUCUUUUUCCCAAGACAACUUUAUUGUGUGUAGGCGCACAAAGGAAGAUCGUAGAAUCAGGAUUACUCGUCCACUUUCAUCGCCUUUUGUUGAUCCGUGUCAUCCUUGCUGCUUCAUCCAAUUAUUCUUUAUUCCUCCUCUCACUUGGGCGAAACACUAGAAACGGCCAUUAAUUUACGGAUCGGUCAUACAAGGAGCAUACCUACUAAUACUUCGGCGUGUGCUGCAUUCGAGUGGUUAACAGCAUACAUCUAUUCCCAAAUCCCAACGGAGAUAGAUAGUAUCCUUCUGUGCUAUCCCCUAUAUCCUCGUAGUAGGGUUGAGGGCAGCGAAGUCUCCCGUUUAUCCUGUCUCCUUCUCUUGGUUAGUGCGUACUACUUCCCAACGUAUCUUAUAUAGAGACAUUGGAGGAGCCUGAUCUUCCAUCUACGCAAAAGAGAUGCUUGAGUUCUUCCAUCCGCGAAGGCGGUGUGCUCAAAUAAGUUAGUUUGUUACGAGACUAUCAGGUCCACCAGGAUAAUUCGAGGUGGAUAGCCCUGACUGACAGGGGACUAAGAUUAGGAAGCAUCCACAAGAGCGAAAGAGCC
Molecule: small RNA, 1586 nt
Filed under: Arabidopsis thaliana (thale cress)
Lineage: Eukaryota; Viridiplantae; Streptophyta; Magnoliopsida; Brassicales; Brassicaceae
Description: putative long intergenic non-coding RNA
Source: RNAcentral